GGUCUAAAUUAGAUCUAUUAUUCGAAAGAUGUCAUUUUUUAAUUUUACAAUUUUGAAUCAUUGUUCAUUCAAUUCGUGUAAACUUACAUGGAAACAUUCGUAAUCGAAGGAUAAUGACUGAAUUAUUACUACGUGCUUUGGAUUCCAAAUCAUCAAUUUCAUCCUCGUUUGAUUUUCCAGACCAUGGGAGCUCACGAAGAACAAUAUCCUUUUAGAUAAAUAUAUAAAAAUAGAAAAAAAAAA
This is a long non-coding RNA of Polistes dominula (European paper wasp), 243 nucleotides long. RefSeq lists it as uncharacterized. Lineage: Eukaryota; Metazoa; Arthropoda; Insecta; Hymenoptera; Vespidae. The record is from RefSeq and is a predicted model, not a curated record.